RNAcentral lists this ribosomal RNA (497 nucleotides) under uncultured bacterium. Its description in RNAcentral is "partial 16S ribosomal RNA". It matches the Rfam family "Bacterial small subunit ribosomal RNA", at positions 28 to 507 of the family's 1533-position model. The record is from RNAcentral.
GAUGAACGCUGGCGGCGUGCCUAAUACAUGCAAGUCGAGCGAACGGACGAGAAGCUUGCUUUUCUGAUGUUAGCGGCGGGCGGGUGAGUAACACGUGGAUAACCUACCUAUAAGACUGGGAUAACUUCGGGAAACCGGAGCUAAUACCGGAUAAUAUUUUGAACCGCAUGGUUCAAAAGUGAAAGACGGUCUUGCUGUCACUUAUAGAUGGAUCCGCGCUGCAUUAGCUAGUUGGUAAGGUAACGGCUUACCAAGGCAACUAUGCAUAGCCGACCUGAGAGGGUGAUCGGCCACACUGGAACUGAGACACGGUCCAGACUCCUACGGGAGGCAGCAGUAGGGAAUCUUCCGCAAUGGGCGAAAGCCUGACGGAGCAACGCCGCGUGAGUGAUGAAGGUCUUCGGAUCGUAAAACUCUGUUAUUAGGGAAGAACAUAUGUGUAAGUAACUGUGCACAUCUUGACGGUACCUAAUCAGAAAGCCACGGCUAACUACGUG